CACAACUAACUAAACGAAACACAGAGCCCAACUUAAAACACCGCCAUUCGGAACCAGCAGCAGUCGCCAACUAUUCAGGGCAGAGCCAGACGCCGAUACCCCAAUCUUCCACAACUCCACCGACUCUCUCGCUCUCUCUUUCUCUCUCUCUCUCCCCCUCUCUCUCUCUCUGUCAAUCUUCUUCUUCUUCUUCCUCGAGCCUUUGCAUUUCUCUGGGUGCCAAAACUUAGACCCAGAGUCGGAAUUUAACGAGCAGGGAAGCAAAAAGAAGAGGGCCGGGGUUGAAGGAAGUGAGAGAGAUGGCGAAGAAGAAGAAGAAACAUUCUCAGGUUGAUGAACCCACAAAAACCGAUUGCUUAAUGCACUUCAGAGGUUCAACGCUUCAACUGAUGAAGUUUACACAUUCGAGGCCGGUCUCUCGAGCUUUGAACGAGCUUAAGUGCAUGAACAAUGCAGGAGAUGGAGUAUGAAAUCCAAGAUUAAGGGAAAGCGGAACAGCGGUGUAUCUCCGUUAACAAAGUUAGAAAGAAGAACAGUGAUGUACCAAGUGUCACUCGCUUGACAUUUUCCGAAGGCACAAAAGAGGUAUUAAGUGACUUGUUCGUACGUUACCCACCCCGUGCUCAAGUGGAGGACUUAGAAGUGUCUGGGAAAAGUAGUGAUAAGAAUGAGAGUGCCCAGAUGGAAGAGGGACACAACGUUUCGCAAGCCUUCGAUGAACAAGGAAGAAAUUGCAAAGAAAGUGGCAUCACUUGCUUCUAAAAUAAAGAACAACGUUGACUUGAGAAAGGUUCUUCUGAUCUCACUGAUGUUGUACCCAUAUUAUCAUUCUACACAAAUUUGAAGUCAUAUUUUUCAAAAUAGUAGUCUCAGCAUGACAAGGUUUUUGUGGCUUUAUGCAUGCAGAUUUUUUAAGACAAGUCCAAGCUUCCAAUUAUAUCCUACAAGGAUGUCAUUACAUCGACAGUUGAAUCUCACUACUUGGUGCUUUAAAAGUUAUUAGCGAUUUGUAACAAAUAAAAGUUAGCAGCUAUGAUCACAUUAAGCAUGACAUUACUUUGACAUUCCCUACUUUAAGUUAAAUAUGUGAUAGUACCUUACCAGAACAUGAUUGGGUCUGUUACUGUUUACUAGAAUCUCUGUUUUGCCUAUGUCAUUUAACCUUCAUUUGACUUGAAUGUAUUUCGUACAUAACAUUUUGGGGCUUAAUGUUUGUUCUAUGUUUGAAAACAGGUCAUUCUUGUAUCUGGUGAGACUGGGUGCGGAAAGACAACACAGCUAAUACUGAUAAAUUCACAUAUAACAAUUAUCACGAAGGUCAGGUUCUUAAGAAGGGAAAUAAGGAACACUACAUUAGAGGUGGUUAUAUUCUUAGAUUGGGUUCUUGGUGACUUCCAAUCCUUGGUAAAGUGUCACGAUAUAGCAAAGAAACUGGUAUAAGGUGAAGUUGAGCCACCAUAAAAUGUUGCAUGUGGGUACGUUUGAAGAAAUAGCAUGUGAUGCACAAGUGACAGAUUUAAUCGAGGACAUGCCAAAUGAUAAGGUAGUUGAAUUAUAUGUGAUUGACAAGAAUGUGAAGGCAAUUAGUAAAAGUGACAAGGGUGCUGCUUCAAGUAAUGGAGAUAAAGGCAACAAAUUACAAAGUGAAAGUGACAAGAGUCAAGCUUCAACAAAUGCGGAGAAGGCAAACAAAAUGGUACCUGCAAAUGUGUUAAUUGAUGUAGGUGUGGUGCAAGAGUUUGAGAUAACAUAAUCUUUAAGUUAGGAUGACAGAUUUCAUGAAUUUUGGCAAGAUGGGGAAUUCACAAUAGAAAAUCAAGGAGAAAAAGAAGAUUCUGCAACAAAAACUUAGGGAAAAAAUAGGGAUGAUGAAGAUGUUGAGGGAGAUGAAAGUGAACAACCUAAAAUGUGGAGGAAAUAAUCAAAAUAGUGAUUAUGACCAGGAUUCAGAUCAGGAAAUUGAACAUGCACACGAGAAUGUGUUAGAAGAUGAUUUGUUUGAAAAACAGGUAGACAACCCAAUUGAUUUUCCUUAUUAACACUAAGAUUUGUCAAUUGUAGCAUAUGAAAAUAAAGGUCUUUC
This is a non-coding RNA of Malus domestica (apple), 2083 nucleotides long. The record is from RefSeq and is a predicted model, not a curated record. NCBI's taxonomy places the organism in Eukaryota, Viridiplantae, Streptophyta, Magnoliopsida, Rosales, Rosaceae.